UAGAGUCUUGUCCUGGCUGGGUUAGAGUCUUGUCCUGGCUGGGUUAGAGUCUUGUCCUGGCUGGGUUAGAGUCUUGUCCUGGCUGGGUUAGAGUAUUGUCCUGGCUGGGUUACAGACUUGUCCUGACUGGGUUAAAGUAUUGUCCUGGCUGGGUUAGAGUCUUGUCCUGGCUGGGUUAGUCUUGUCCUGGCUGGGUUAGAGUAUUGUACUGGCUGGGUUAGAGUAUUGUCCUGGCUGGAUUCGAGUCUUGUCCUGGCUGGGUUAGAGUAUUGUCCUGGCUGGGUUAGAGUCUUGUCCUGGCUGGGUUAGAGUCUUGUCCUGGCUGGGUUAGAGUCUUGGCUGGGUUAGAGUCUUGUCCUGGCUGGGUUAGAGUCUUGGCUGGGUUAGAGUCUUGGCUGGGUUAGAGUCUUGGAGUCUUGUCCUGGCUGGGUUAGAGUCUUGUCCUGGCUGGGUUAGAGUCUUGGCUGGGUUAGAGUUUUGGCUGGGUUAGAGUCUUGUCCUGGCUGGGUUAGAGUAUUGUCCUGGCUGGGUUAGAGUCUUGUCCUGGCUGGGUUAGAGUCUUGUCCUGGCUGGGUUAGAGUCUUGGCUGGGUUAGAGUCUUGUCCUGGCUGGGUUAGAGUCUUGUCCUGGCUGGGUUAGAGUCUUGUCCUGGCUGGGUUAGAGUCUUGGCUGGGUUAGAGUUUUGGAGCUGUGUAGAGGAAAGCAUUGUUAUUUUUGCUUUUUUUUUUUUUACAGUACACCCAAAAAAAGGAAUGCAGGCAAUGAACGUCUUAUCCAUGCAACUGUAGCUACUGCAGGCCUAAGAAGUCUCAUGACAUUAUCAUGAAGGUCAUCUCUGUGUUAUCAGACGGAUAGACCAUAUGUUUGAUAUCAAUUAAUGAUUAAUGACAGGUAAUGGUUGAUGAAAACGGAGAAAGCAACAAGUGAUUGUAUCUUAUUGAUUCGGAUGAAUACUUCAACUAAAUGUCUUCGGGAUGGAAUGUGGGUAGAUAUUCUCAAUGAAGAGAGGGAUGGAAAAUGAAAGGAUUGGGAUUAUUUCCAUUAAUUCUACAGCCUAUUGAAAGAGAAUGCUAUUGCAAG
Molecule: long non-coding RNA, 1080 nt
Organism: Oncorhynchus tshawytscha (Chinook salmon)
Lineage: Eukaryota; Metazoa; Chordata; Actinopteri; Salmoniformes; Salmonidae
Source: Ensembl